AUACUUAUCUGGCAGGGCAGAUACUAUGAUCACUAAGGUGUCUCUCCCAGGACAAGGCUCAUCCAUUGCAAUCAGCAUGUACUGCACCUUGCAAUUGCCCCUAAUGUGGAUAAUUCAAUUGUAUAGUUUGUGGUAGUGGAGGGACUGCGUUCUCGCUCUCACUUG
Erpetoichthys calabaricus (reedfish) is the source of this 165-nucleotide small nuclear RNA. Its record names the gene U1. It matches the Rfam family "U1 spliceosomal RNA". Rfam says of the family: U1 is a small nuclear RNA (snRNA) component of the spliceosome (involved in pre-mRNA splicing). Its 5' end forms complementary base pairs with the 5' splice junction, thus defining the 5' donor site of an intron. The record is from Ensembl. Lineage: Eukaryota; Metazoa; Chordata; Cladistia; Polypteriformes; Polypteridae.